UUGGCGACCGGCGCACGGGUGAGUAACACGUAUCCAACCUGCCGAUGACUCGGGGAUAGCCUUUCGAAAGAAAGAUUAAUACCCGAUGGCAUAGUUCUUCCGCAUGGUAGAACUAUUAAAGAAUUUCGGUCAUCGAUGGGGAUGCGUUCCAUUAGGUUGUUGGCGGGGUAACGGCCCACCAAGCCUUCGAUGGAUAGGGGUUCUGAGAGGAAGGUCCCCCACAUUGGAACUGAGACACGGUCCAA
This 245-nucleotide ribosomal RNA is filed under the name uncultured bacterium. RNAcentral describes it as "partial 16S ribosomal RNA". It matches the Rfam family "Bacterial small subunit ribosomal RNA", at positions 88 to 334 of the family's 1533-position model. The record is from RNAcentral.